AUUGAACGCUGGCGGCAUGCCUUACACAUGCAAGUCGAACGGCAGCACGGGAGCAAUCCUGGUGGCGAGUGGCGAACGGGUGAGUAAUAUAUCGGAACGUGCCCAGUCGUGGGGAUAACGUAGCGAAAGCUACGCUAAUACCGCAUACGAUCUAUGGAUGAAAGCGGGGGAUCGCAAGACCUCGCGCGAUUGGAGCGGCCGAUAUCAGAUUAGGUAGUUGGUGAGGUAAAGGCUCACCAAGCCGACGAUCUGUAGCUGGUCUGAGAGGACGACCAGCCACACUGGGACUGAGACACGGCCCAGACUCCUACGGGAGGCAGCAGUGGGGAAUUUUGGACAAUGGGCGAAAGCCUGAUCCAGCCAUACCGCGUGCGGGAAGAAGGCC
This 385-nucleotide ribosomal RNA is filed under the name uncultured bacterium. RNAcentral's name for it is "bacterial SSU rRNA". It matches the Rfam family "Bacterial small subunit ribosomal RNA", at positions 29 to 416 of the family's 1533-position model. The record is from RNAcentral.